CACGCCCUUAAACUAUGUCAACUGGGUUGUCGGGGUAAGAAAUUCCUUGGUAACGAAGCUAACGCGUGAAGUUGACCGCCUGGGGAGUACGGCCGCAAGGUUAAAACUCAAAGGAAUUGACGGGGACCCGCACAAGCGGUGGAUUAUGUGGAUUAAUUCGAUGCAACGCGAAAAACCUUACCUACCCUUGACAUGUACGGAACCCUCCAGAGAUGGAGGGGUGCCCGAAAGGGAGCCGUAACACAGGUGCUGCAUGGCUGUCGUCAGCUCGUGUCGUGAGAUGUUGGGUUAAUUCCCGCAACAUCCUCGGACCUUUCCACUAGAUGUGAAAUUAAUUUGGCCAUCUUAUUUGCGA
This 355-nucleotide ribosomal RNA is filed under the name uncultured bacterium. Its description in RNAcentral is "bacterial SSU rRNA". It matches the Rfam family "Bacterial small subunit ribosomal RNA", at positions 795 to 1148 of the family's 1533-position model. The record is from RNAcentral.